GGGUUGUGAGGUUAAGCGACUAAGCGUACACGGUGGAUGCCCUGGCAGUCAGAGGCGAUGAAGGACGUGCUAAUCUGCGAAAAGCGUCGGUAAGGUGAUAUGAACCGUUAUAACCGGCGAUGUCCGAAUGGGGAAACCCAGUGCAAUUCGUUGCACUAUCGUUAACUGAAUACAUAGGUUAACGAGGCGAACCGGGGGAACUGAAACAUCUAAGUACCCCGAGGAAAAGAAAUCAACCGAGAUUCCCCCAGUAGCGGCGAGCGAACGGGGAGCAGCCCAGAGUCUGAAUCAGCUUGUGUGUUAGUGGAACGGUCUGGAAAGUCCGACGGUACAGGGUGAUAGUCCCGUACACCAAAAUGCACAGGCUGUGAACUCGAAGAGUAGGGCGGGACACGUGGUAUCCUGUCUGAAUAUGGGGGGACCAUCCUCCAAGGCUAAAUACUCCUGACUGACCGAUAGUGAACCAGUACCGUGAGGAAAGGCGAAAAGAACCCCGGCGAGGGGAGUGAAAAAGAACCUGAAACCGUGUACGUACAAGCAGUGGGAGCACCUUCGGGUGUGACUGCGUACCUUUUGUAUAAUGGGUCAGCGACUUAUAUUCUGUAGCAAGGUUAACCGUAUAGGGGAGCCGCAGGGAAACCGAGUCUUAACUGGGCGUUAAGUUGCAGGGUAUAGACCCGAAACCCGGUGAUCUAGCCAUGGGCAGGUUGAAGGUUGGGUAACACUAACUGGAGGACCGAACCGACUAAUGUUGAAAAAUUAGCGGAUGACUUGUGGCUGGGGUGAAAGGCCAAUCAAACCGGGAGAUAGCUGGUUCUCCCGAAAGCUAUUUAGGUAGCGCCUCGUGAAUUCAUCUUCGGGGGUAGAGCACUGUUUCGGCUAGGGGGUCAUCCCGACUUACCAACCCGAUGCAAACUACGAAUACCGAAGAAUGUUAUCACGGGAGACACACGGCGGGUGCUAACGUCCGUCGUGAAGAGGGAAACAACCCAGACCGCCAGCUAAGGUCCCAAAGUCAUGGUUAAGUGGGAAACGAUGUGGGAAGGCACAGACAGCCAGGAUGUUGGCUUAGAAGCAGCCAUCAUUUAAAGAAAGCGUAAUAGCUCACUGGUCGAGUCGGCCUGCGCGGAAGAUGUAACGGGCUAAACCAUGCACCGAAGCUGCGGCAGCGACACUAUGUGUUGUUGGGUAGGGGAGCGUUCUGUAAGCCUGCGAAGGUGACCUGUGAGGGUUGCUGGAGGUAUCAGAAGUGCGAAUGCUGACAUAAGUAACGAUAAAGCGGGUGAAAAGCCCGCUCGCCGGAAGACCAAGGGUUCCUGUCCAACGUUAAUCGGGGCAGGGUGAGUCGACCCCUAAGGCGAGGCCGAAAGGCGUAGUCGAUGGGAAACAGGUUAAUAUUCCUGUACUUGGUGUUACUGCGAAGGGGGGACGGAGAAGGCUAUGUUAGCCGGGCGACGGUUGUCCCGGUUUAAGCAUGUAGGCUGAUUGUCCAGGCAAAUCCGGAUAAUCAAGGCUGAGGUGUGAUGACGAGGCACUACGGUGCUGAAGUAACAAAUGCCCUGCUUCCAGGAAAAGCCUCUAAGCAUCAGGUAACAUCAAAUCGUACCCCAAACCGACACAGGUGGUCAGGUAGAGAAUACCAAGGCGCUUGAGAGAACUCGGGUGAAGGAACUAGGCAAAAUGGUGCCGUAACUUCGGGAGAAGGCACGCUGGUGUGUAGGUGAAGUCCCUGCGGAUGGAGCUGAGACCAGUCGAAGAUACCAGCUGGCUGCAACUGUUUAUUAAAAACACAGCACUGUGCAAACACGAAAGUGGACGUAUACGGUGUGACGCCUGCCCGGUGCCGGAAGGUUAAUUGAUGGGGUUAUCCGUAAGGAGAAGCUCUUGAUCGAAGCCCCGGUAAACGGCGGCCGUAACUAUAACGGUCCUAAGGUAGCGAAAUUCCUUGUCGGGUAAGUUCCGACCUGCACGAAUGGCGUAAUGAUGGCCAGGCUGUCUCCACCCGAGACUCAGUGAAAUUGAACUCGCUGUGAAGAUGCAGUGUACCCGCGGCAAGACGGAAAGACCCCGUGAACCUUUACUAUAGCUUGACACUGAACAUUGAGCCUUGAUGUGUAGGAUAGGUGGGAGGCUUUGAAGCGUGGACGCCAGUCUGCGUGGAGCCAACCUUGAAAUACCACCCUUUAAUGUUUGAUGUUCUAACGUUGGCCCCUUACCGGGGUUGCGGACAGUGUCUGGUGGGUAGUUUGACUGGGGCGGUCUCCUCCCAAAGCGUAACGGAGGAGCACGAAGGUUAGCUAAUCCUGGUCGGACAUCAGGAGGUUAGUGCAAUGGCAUAAGCUAGCUUGACUGCGAGCGUGACGGCGCGAGCAGGUGCGAAAGCAGGUCAUAGUGAUCCGGUGGUUCUGAAUGGAAGGGCCAUCGCUCAACGGAUAAAAGGUACUCCGGGGAUAACAGGCUGAUACCGCCCAAGAGUUCAUAUCGACGGCGGUGUUUGGCACCUCGAUGUCGGCUCAUCACAUCCUGGGGCUGAAGUAGGUCCCAAGGGUAUGGCUGUUCGCCAUUUAAAGUGGUACGCGAGCUGGGUUUAGAACGUCGUGAGACAGUUCGGUCCCUAUCUGCCGUGGGCGCUGGAGAAUUGAGGGGGGCUGCUCCUAGUACGAGAGGACCGGAGUGGACGCAUCACUGGUGUUCGGGUUGUCAUGCCAAUGGCACUGCCCGGUAGCUAAAUGCGGAAGAGAUAAGUGCUGAAAGCAUCUAAGCACGAAACUUGCCCCGAGAUGAGUUCUCCCUGAGACUUUAAGUCUCCUGAAGGAACGUUGAAGACGACGACGUUGAUAGGCCGGGUGUGUAAGCGCAGCGAUGCGUUGAGCUAACCGGUACUAAUGAACCGUGAGGCUUAACCUUACAACGCCGAAG
RNAcentral lists this ribosomal RNA (2919 nucleotides) under Klebsiella pneumoniae. RNAcentral describes it as "23S ribosomal RNA". It matches the Rfam family "Bacterial large subunit ribosomal RNA". Lineage: Bacteria; Pseudomonadati; Pseudomonadota; Gammaproteobacteria; Enterobacterales; Enterobacteriaceae. The record is from RNAcentral.